UCAUUGCGAAAUGACACUUCACUUUUCAAUAACGUAACGCAUACACUCCGCUUAGUUUGACAACUGGGCUUAUUUUUGUUCGUUAUAUCCGGUAAUGAAGUUAUUCGGUAAGAAAGUAAGUAAUUUUUACAGUUAUUUGAUAGUAAAGAAGCUCGCUUUAUACUUGGAUAUUACCGUAACUCUCUUAUCUCUGUUGUUUCACCGGAACACAGUGAAUCAUCACGCUCUUUAUUACAGUUAAUGAUUAUUGAAUGCACCUAAAUCUAUCGAUGAUCAUAGAAAGAAAUUCCGAACUGAGUAAAGUGUCUUGCAUAUCUACGACAUUCUUAGUUAUUUUGUCCAUCCCUUUUAUAUUGGGAGGAAUACCAAAAACAUAUUCUUCUAUCGAGAACGAUCGAAAAAAUGGUGUCGUACUUAUCGCAAUUGGUAGCGGAUUCGCUGUAAUUGCCUUAAUUGUGAUAUGCAUCUAUAUAUUUAUCAGACGAAAACACGAAAGUAAUAGUAACUCUGAUAUGAUGUCUUCUCAAAUUACUCAAGAUCCAGGGGAUAUAUCGUUGGAAACUAUUAUAGACGUGUCUAACCCGAUAGAGGUGUCAGAAGACGACGACCCACCUCCCUACAACGAAGAACCUCCAUCGUACGAAUCUGUGAUUCGAGAACAAAGAACGAAUUGAUGUUACCAGUAAGUAAGCGGCCGUAAAAUGUGGAGUUGAUAAAAUUUCUAGUCAGCAAUUUGGCGUUCUCAUGCCAUUAUUAUCGAAGUGUUAAGACGAGUUUCAUUCGCCGAUUUAUGGAAACUUUUAUGUAAGUAAUCUUUGCUAUUCUCAGAAGGUUUGAAAGCAAUUUAAGUGAUAAAAUGCGUAUUUAUGCAAUUAAAUUUCUUAAAAUUUGUAAAUAUGUAUACAUAAAGUUGACACAACGCGAAUACAGAAGACAUUGAAGACAUUAGUUCAUGUAUAUGCGUAAAACUACAUAGCGAGCCAUAACUAAUUUUACAAAUUUAAAGUUUGUAAAACGAAAAAAUUAACAUAAAUUUGUUUGUAACUUUAUAAUAUAAUUGGCAACUGAAAAUGUUUGUUUUUUUUAUUACUAUCUUAUAUCGCUUCGCGCUUUGUAUCCUGCAAAACUACAAAAAUGGCGGCUUUCGCGAGCAACGUCAUUUGUUAUCGAAACUGAUUUAAAUGCAAUCUAUUAAGUGCACUCAGUGAGUAUUUGGAAAUUAACGAAUCGACCAAUUUGUCGAUUAGAAUUUAAAUUGACGAAUUAGUUCGUCGAUUCGCAUUCGUAUUUUUUUUUAACCGACUGAAUGCCCUUAACAGAUUGCGUUUAAAUGAGAGAAUUGAAAUUGGAAUCGACGAAUUGCUGCACCUUCACGUCUACAAAUUUCUGCUAUUUAUGUGGCAACGAGAAGAAUUCCCCAGUUGCCUGAUUUUUGACAAGUUUACUAUUACCUGGCUACAAAAAUUACCGAAUUUCUUCAUACAGAGUAUACGAAUAAGCAAGGCUUUAUCUGUACACUAAAAUAAUUUGUUAAUUGCAAACAAGAUUGCACACCUUCACGAGGUAGUGAAGGAAAGACUUAGGUAGGCUUUUGUAUAGGCUUUGUAAAAUAUUUUAUGACACACUAAAGUUCUAAUUACACAUAUUUAUGGCUCAUCCUGUAUUAUAUUUUUGAAAAAAUAAAUAAAAUUAUUUCACAUAUUGAAUAUUUGUAUUAUGCGACAUUUAUUGAAAAUAUUAUACUAUACAGUUUAAGUAUAAUUAUUAAAUGGCAUCUAAAUUUUUAAAACUGUAUGCUAUAUAAGCAAAUAUAGUGUUGCGUGUACAGUACGAAAGAUAUAAUGUAUGUGAUAUAUAGGAUGGAAGGUAUGCAGUUUUUCGAGUAUAUCUUAGUUAAUAGAAGAGGAAAUGAUCUCAAAUUCUCUCAAGUAAAUAAUUGCAUAAUUAAUUGUAACAUUAUUUUUUAAAAAAUUUACAAAACUUAUGAUAGUCUAGUUGUCUCGAAAUCCAAUACCAGGCGUAGAAACUAUAGAGGCAGGAGGCUCCAAUUAACUAUGUAGGAACAUACGAUAAAAACUAGAAGUCAUUUUAUUUCAAUUCAAAUAUUUUCCCUCGAAAGGAGUUAGAUAGAUGACCGGCACGUGCCGACUCUAUUGCUAACGGAAAAGUAUGAUGUACAGGGGCGAGACACUGCUAAUUUUAGGUGGCGAGCAUAUAUUUUAAAAUAAAUAAAUUAAAGAUAUGAUAAAAAUACGCGCUACAUUCUACCAGAACACAAAGAACAAUUUGCAUAAUAUUCUGUACUAAGUUAACUUUAUAUGUAAUUGUUGCGCGUUGGCUAAAACGAAGAACUAUUCCAAGUCGCUGGUUCCAGUCGAAUUUUGCACCUCGUAUCUUUAGUCAAGUCCCUGAUUUCCAGUAGUGUGGAAAAAGCGGAAUAAAGAGCUUCCGCAACCUAUAAGAAACACAUUUAAAAAUCUUUUUAUUAAUUAAAUUCGUAAUUUAAUAUUCACCACAUUAAAACGCGAGGAAAUUAAAUAUACUGACUCUUAUAGGAAAGUCUUCUUUAAUGAAAAAAAAUCCUCCGAUGGAAACCCCGAGAGGUAAUUUCCCAAAUCUCUUCAUAAAGUU
This 2631-nucleotide long non-coding RNA is filed under the name Centruroides sculpturatus (bark scorpion). RNAcentral's name for it is "uncharacterized LOC111614960". The record is from RNAcentral. Lineage: Eukaryota; Metazoa; Arthropoda; Arachnida; Scorpiones; Buthidae.